UGCUAUUUAGUUUAUAUAAAAUGUUGAUUUUGUAACUCAAUGAUAGGGUAAAUCCUUUUUAGCAA
RNAcentral lists this transfer RNA (65 nucleotides) under Botrylloides nigrum. RNAcentral describes it as "transfer RNA-Thr". The record is from RNAcentral. Lineage: Eukaryota; Metazoa; Chordata; Ascidiacea; Stolidobranchia; Styelidae.